AUGACAGCUUAACUUGAUGCUAGUCAAGACCAGAGCUGUCCUGUCUGAGCCACAUGUUCCUACCCUGUGUCUCCCUGCUCCUCCAGUGGGAUGAGAUAGGUCAGGGAGGCUGGACAGGAGCCAGGGCCAUAGUGGGGACAGAGGAGCACAGGAGCCCCACUUACACAGGUCCAAGCACAGCAGAACUGGUGCCUGCCUGUCAUGUCCCUUGACAGAAAACUGAGGGUUGAAAACAUCUGGGCCUGAUUAGCAGCCAUCAGCCUAGGGCCCACAAAAGCCAUGGCUCAGGCCUGGAGCACCAUUAACAUCUGGAUUUGGAGGCAAUUUCACCAACUUAUUGGAGGUAAAUCUGAGGAGCUGGAGCACCUUCUGCCCACUGUGCCUUAGUUUCCUUCUUCAUGAAAUGAGAAGAGUUCUGAGACUCUGAGAGACUGCGGGGAUCUGAGAUCCUGGGAAAUAGUAAAACACACCAGCUGACAUACGAGCGAGAGCCUACAUUAAGACAACAGCAACUGAAGCAUCAGGAAAGUCAACAUCACUAUAUAUAACAUUAAGAAAUCUUCUGUUUGAUGAUGCACAUUUACCACUCCAAGAAGUGCCUUAGGGAAAUACAAUCACAUCUGAAGGGGGAAUAGUACUAGGUGGGUGGGCUUCAAAAAAGCACUGCUCUGCAUGAUGUCCAGUAGGAGAAUCCCUUUCAAAAACAGUGAGAUGGAUGAGCUGUCAUCAACCCACUUCAUUCCCUGCUUUGCAUGACACUCAUAAAAUGGGCAGAGGACAGUUUUGGUUUGUUCAACGCACAAUAAAAAUGCACAAAAGGUGAUUGACAUGAAGAAACUGCAAGUGUGGUAAGCUAAACAUAUGCUUCUGGAAGCACUGAUCUACUAGAAUAACUCAGGCGUGUGUAUCCUCUAGCUGCUGAAAGACUAACUACCACUUUAAAACAAUUGAAAUCCCUAUAUAUUGUGAGCAUAAGCUCUUAAUUAAUUUGCCAUAUUACAUGUAUCAACAACUAGACAGAAAUGGAGCUUAACAGUAAUUUAUCUUCAAUCAUGUUUUGAAGCCAACACAAAUAUUUCUACAUUUCACCCUGCUUUUGACUCACUCUAAGUAGAAGCAAAAGGGCCCAAACCACUGCUGAUGUGAGUGUCAUAAAAGGUGUAACCUGGCUUAAAUCAGUACCAUUGACUCUUCUUGUAUCAGCAAUAAACUGGGAUCUCUGUCUUCACUCAUGACACUGCAAUCGAGUGAAUUUGAUGUAAGAAUAGUGAUGGAUGAACUCACGAGGCUCUCGCCCUUUCAUGAGGUGUCACAGGCACCAGGCUUGCACGGUCCCAAGGCUGCAUUUCGAGUGCUAGGCAGGGACAUUCUCCCCUGCCUGCUAUGGAACACCGGCUCUCACCAAACUGCUCUCCGACCAAAUACCCAUGCACCACCGAGGUGCUCCCACUUCUCCUGAACCCACAGUGGAACAGGAGCCUCUGCUCUGGGCUGACAGCAGCUCCUGCCCAUUACACAAUCCAUUGAGGGAGCACGUCUCCAGCUGGGUUUCUCCAUGCGUAGGACACACUCAUUAAAGGUACUAGAGGUGACAUGGAACAGAAAAGAUUAAAAACAAAACAAACUACAAUACCAUCACCUUCACACACACAUGCACAAAAAACCAAAACAACAAAGUAAACAAGAAACUAAAAAUAAAAAGAGCAUGUGCAGGAAUAAAGGAUUCCCCUGUUUGUUCUGUCCAGGCUUUUGUGUUGAGAUUUUCACCAAGAACCUUACCAGGGUUUUGUGCUGAUGAACACAGGCACCACAUACUUUGACUUGGCCAUUGCAUUAGCCUUAUACCACCAGGGCUCUUAGCCUAGACUUGACUUGAGCAGGUAAAUGAGGAACUUCCUCUAGCUUUUGCCAUUGACCUCCGUACAAAUAUUAGUAAGGCAACUCCAAAAUCCAGAUGCUCAGACCUGAGGAAUGGUUACUGAAGGGCAGCUUUCUUCAAGAUUCAAGUGGAAGGAGAGACAAUCUUUCUGAGACAGCUGGUCCAUAUUUGUAUGCUCCAGUUUAUUCAGUCUUCCUCUGAUUAUUUCAUGAGCUCUUCACUUUUCUAAUGAGUGUAGUCCCACAACUCCCCAAGCAUGCACACUACACAGCCUGUCCCCAAAAAUUAACUCCUUCUGCCUUUUAUAAAGCUCCCUCGCAAACAGACUGCUCCACACUGUACACACACAUCCAUGUAACUAACACAAUUUGCCAAUUUGCCAAAGGGUAAAAAACUCUAAGCUCCCUUUAUUUGUCUUGCUGCUGAGUGAUCUCAACCCCAGUGACUAAGAGUCAAGCAGCGAGCUGAGGGGAGGUGCCAUGCUGCAGCUCUACUCACCUCAGCUGCAAGCAGCAGAGCUGCCAUCUUGCU
Long non-coding RNA from Passer domesticus (house sparrow), 2410 nucleotides. RefSeq lists it as uncharacterized. The transcript is spliced from 4 exons. NCBI's taxonomy places the organism in Eukaryota, Metazoa, Chordata, Aves, Passeriformes, Passeridae. The record is from RefSeq and is a predicted model, not a curated record.